Molecule: ribosomal RNA, 846 nt
Filed under: uncultured bacterium
Lineage: Bacteria
Description: bacterial SSU rRNA
Rfam family: Bacterial small subunit ribosomal RNA
Source: RNAcentral
ACAUGCAAGUCGAACGAAAAAGUGAUUAGUUUACUAGGAUCUUUUUAGUGGCGGACGGGUUAGUAACACGUGAGUAACUUGCCUCAAAGUGGGGGAUAGUCCUGGGAAACUGGGUUUAAUACCGCAUACGACCUUCGGGUUAAAGCUAGCUUCGGCUGGUGCUUUGAGAUAGGCUCGCGUCCUAUCAGCUAGUUGGUGAGGUAAAAGCUCACCAAGGCGACGACGGGUAGUUGGUCUGAGAGGACGAUCAGCAACACUGGAACUGAGACACGGUCCAGACACCUACGGGUGGCAGCAGUCGAGAAUCAUUCACAAUGGGGGCAACCCUGAUGGUGCAACGCCGCGUGGAGGAUGAAGGACCUAGGUUCGUAAACUCCUGUCAUAAUAGAGUAAGACAUAAUCGUUAAUAGCUUUUAUGUUUGAUAGUAUAUUAAGAGGAAGGGACGGCUAACUUCGUGCCAGCAGCCGCGGUAAUACGAAGGUCCCGAGCGUUAUUCGGAAUAACUGGGCGUAAAGGGAGCGUAGGCGGCUUGGUAAGUCAGAUGUGAAAGCCCAGGGCUCAACCCUGGAACUGCAUUCGAUACUGCCAGGCUAGAGUAAUGGAGAGGUAAGCGGAAUUUUCGGUGUAGCAGUGAAAUGCGUAGAUAUCGAAAGGAAGACCAAUGGCGAAGGCAGCUUACUGGACAUUUACUGACGCUGAGGCUCGAAGGCUAGGGUAGCGAAAGGGAUUAGAUACCCCUGUAGUCCUAGCAGUAAACGAUGUGCGCUUGGUGUGGGGAGGUUCGACCCUCUCUGUGCCGGAGCUAACGCGUUAAGCACCCCGCCUGGGGAGUACGGCCGCAAGGC